AGCGAACGCUGGCGGCAGGCUUAACACAUGCAAGUCGAACGGACCCUCCGGGGUUAGUGGCGGACGGGUGAGUAACACGUGGGAACGAGCCCUUAGGUUCGGAAUAGCUCCUGGAAACGGGAGGUAAUGCCGAAUGUGCCCAUCGGGGGAAAGAUCUAUUGCUUUUAGAUCGGCCCGCGUCUGAUUAGCUGGUUGGUGAGGUAAUCGCACGCCAAGGCGUCGAUCAGUAGCUGGUCUGAGACGAUGACCAUCCACGCUGGGACUGAGGCACGGCCCAGUCUCCGACGGAGGGGAGCAGUAGGGAGUCUUGCGGGAGGGGCGAAAGCCUAACGCAGCCAUGCCGCGGGAAUGAGGAAGGGCUUAGGAUUGUAAAAUUCUUUCUCCGGAGACGAGAGUGACGGUACCCGGUGAAGAAGCCCCGGCUAACUUCGUG
Molecule: ribosomal RNA, 433 nt
Filed under: uncultured bacterium
Lineage: Bacteria
Description: partial 16S ribosomal RNA
Rfam family: Bacterial small subunit ribosomal RNA
Source: RNAcentral